UCCAACUUGAAAGAAGACGACCGCAACGGGUUUGAUCCUUGGAGCUCUUGAACCCUAAACUCUCUCUCUCUCUCUCUCUCUCUGUGUUCCCCGUUCGGUUCGGCCGCCCCAACCUUUGGCUUCUCCAUAAAUGGUGGUGGCUGACACUGAAGAAUACAUUGAUGGACUAUUCACUGGAAACAUGGGGGAACCCUCUCCUCAAGUAACUUGGACAAAUAUACAUGCAGUUAAUUGUUUAUACUCAUCUAAAGCUCGUGCUCGAAUCAAAGAGGAACCAUAUCAUCAUCCAGCAAGAAGAAAGAGGCAAGUAAUUGAAAUUGAACGUCAUUGAUAUCCAAACCCAAUGCGGAGACCUUUCAAGCACCCAUUACAUUUGUGCCUAAAGAGAACCCUUUUUGAAUCAAUUCAGAGUACCCAAGGCAAUGGUCUUCAUUACAAGCCCAAUUAUCACACUUGCUAGUGUUCUAGCAGCUUACGAAGGAUGUUUCAGUGCGUCCUCUGAUUCCGCAGGCGAAGCUGUGGAUGCAUCUGCAUCCUUUUCAUCAUUUGCACUUCCUGUCGGACCCUGUGCUGCAGCAGUAGCCUUUGGAGCUGCUACAUGUGGUGCUGUCACUGGCUUCUGAACAGGCGCCUCCUUUGGCGUGGCAGCAGCUGGUGUAGCUGAUACCGGUGUUAAACUCUUGAUGCUGGGUGGAACGAUGACAGUGCUAAUCUGAAGCACUGAGAUGUCAUAAGCUGUGCUGCGACCACCUUGAGCACAUUGGAGUUGAGGGGUGCCCUGGUGGCAGCUGAGCCGAACACCAUCUGCAUGCUGGGCAGCUUGGUAUAGUCCAAGAACCCCAUCUGGUUGGUGGCUAGGCCAGAGGCCUGGAAGAGUGUGGGUAGGAGGGCAGUGUUGUUGGGAAGCUGGUCGAGUUUGUAGGGAUCAUAGUAGUCAAGGAUUACAAGGACGGAGAUGACCUUCUUAAGGAUGUCGGCCGAUAGAGAGGACAGAGGAGAGAUGGCGGAAUUAUCGAUGGCAAGGAUGGUGAUGGUCUUUGGCGAUUGAUCUCAUCGGCCACCUUCGUCUGAGUGAGAUACUUGGUGAAGGUGGAGAAUUCAUCGAAUGGUUCGGGAAUCUCAACAAUGUCUAAGGUGAUGACCGAGGAGACAAGGAAGAGAAGAGGGAGAAAGAUGAGAAAGACAUGGGCUUUGGGGUUCAUUUUGGAUAUGGGUUUGGCUUGGUCAGCCCCCCACAAUGGGAGGAGAGGAAGGGAUGAUCACGGGGAGUAAGAAUAUAUAUAGGAAAAGGAAGCUGAGGGGGGUUUGCUAAACUUGAAGAUGUUCUUCCUCCAAAAUUAUAGAGGAAGAGGGUUUUGUGGAUGCUUUUGGACCAUCAAAUGGAAUGGGAUGGUUGAGCAGGAUAGAUGAGUGGAAAUCUUCUUUAACAAGUUUGACUUGGUCCUUCCCUCCAUGUACAUAUAUAUAUAUAUUUAGGUUUGGUGAAACUGGCUUUACUGUUAUUAGAUCCAAGGCCUUAUCUGAGUUUGAGAUGACCUCUUGUAGGGGUGAUUCCAUGAUGCACAUGGAUUACUUGUAUUUUUUUAAAGUACUUAUAAUGUGUUAUUGUGCAAUUUUAUUUAAAUUAUAUGGUAAAUAUGUGAUAGUUGAAGAAAAUGUACUUAAUGCUCAUUUGAAACAUUCUUUUCAUCAUA
Musa acuminata AAA Group (dessert banana) is the source of this 1694-nucleotide long non-coding RNA. RefSeq lists it as uncharacterized. The transcript has 3 exons. The record is from RefSeq and is a predicted model, not a curated record. Lineage: Eukaryota; Viridiplantae; Streptophyta; Magnoliopsida; Zingiberales; Musaceae.